This 253-nucleotide ribosomal RNA is filed under the name uncultured bacterium. RNAcentral's name for it is "partial 16S ribosomal RNA". It matches the Rfam family "Bacterial small subunit ribosomal RNA", at positions 524 to 776 of the family's 1533-position model. The record is from RNAcentral.
UACAGAGGUCCCGAGCGUUGUUCGGAUUCAUUGGGCGUAAAGGGUGCGUAGGUGGCAUGGUAAGUCGGGUGUGAAAUUUCGGAGCUUAACUCCGAAACUGCAUUCGAUACUGCGGUGCUUGAGGACUGGAGAGGAGACUGGAAUUUACGGUGUAGCAGUGAAAUGCGUAGAGAUCGUAAGGAAGACCAGUGGCGAAGGCGGGUCUCUGGACAGUUCCUGACACUGAGGCACGAAGGCCAGGGGAGCAAACGGG